GCUUCGGGUGUAACCUUUUUACCAGGAAGAACGAAAGUGCGGUCCUGCAGAAAAACGCCGGCUACUACGUCCAGCAGCGCGGUAUACGUAGGCGCAAGCGUAUCCGGAAUUAUGGGCGUAAAGAGCUCGUAGGCGGUUUGUCGCGUCUGCUGUGAAAUCCGGAGGCUCAACCUCCGGCCUGCAGUGGGUACGGGCAGACUAGAGUGCGGUAGGGGAGAUUGGAAUUCCUGGUGUAGCGGUGGAAUGCGCAGAUAUCAGGAGGAACACCGAUGGCGAAGGCAGAUCUCUGGGCCGUAACUGACGCUGAGGAGCGAAAGGGUGGGGAGCAAACAGGCUUAGAUACCCUGGUAGUCCACCCCGUAAACGUUGGGAACUAGUUGUGGGGUCCAUUCCACGGAUUCCGUGACGCAGCUAACGCAUUAAGUUCCCCGCCUGGGGAGUACGGCCGCAAGGCUAAAACUCAAAGGAAUUGACGGGGACCCGCACAAGCGGCGGAGCAUGCGGAUUAAUUCGAUGCAACGCGAAGAACCUUACCAAGGCUUGACAUAUACGAGAACGGGCCAGAAAUGGUCAACUCUUUGGACACUCGUAAACAGGUGGUGCAUGGUUGUCGUCAGCUCGUGUCGUGAGAUGUUGGGUUAAGUCCCGCAACGAGCGCAACCCUCGUUCUAUGUUGCCAGCACGUAAUGGUGGGAACUCAUGGGAUACUGCCGGGGUCAACUCGGAGGAAGGUGGGGAUGACGUCAAAUCAUCAUGCCCCUUAUGUCUUGGGCUUCACGCAUGCUACAAUGGCCGGUACAAAGGGCUGCAAUACCGCGAGGUGGAGCGAAUCCCAAAAAGCCGGUCCCAGUUCGGAUUGAGGUCUGCAACUCGACCUCAUGAAGUCGGAGUCGCUAGUAAUCGCAGAUCAGCAACGCUGCGGUGAAUACGUUCCCGGGUCUUGUACACACCGCCCGUCAAGUCAUGAAAGUCGGUAACACCUGAAGCCGGUGGCCUAACCCUUGUGGAGGGAGCCGUCGAAGGUGAUCCA
Molecule: ribosomal RNA, 1030 nt
Filed under: Microbacterium sp.
Lineage: Bacteria; Bacillati; Actinomycetota; Actinomycetes; Micrococcales; Microbacteriaceae
Description: bacterial SSU rRNA
Rfam family: Bacterial small subunit ribosomal RNA
Source: RNAcentral